This 327-nucleotide long non-coding RNA is filed under the name Fukomys damarensis (Damara mole-rat). RNAcentral describes it as "lncRNA (ENSFDAG00000027462.1)". The record is from RNAcentral. Lineage: Eukaryota; Metazoa; Chordata; Mammalia; Rodentia; Bathyergidae.
CAUGUCAUCAUUUUAGGAGCAAUGAUGUUCUGAUCUGGUGCAGGGGAAUCAGACUUCACAUUAUCUUCAGGAUCAGUAAUCAGAUGGAAUACAAGAAUCUUCAGUGGAUAAUCAUGAUCAAGCUUCUAAACCAACUGGAUUUGUAUUUUACCUAGCAACAUGAUGAUUUCCGAGGACCCUGCACAAAAUAUGAUGGAGAAGAUAUGGACACCAACCUUCCUAAACCCCAGCUUUAUACAAUUACUGACAAUUAGUCACACUGCAGGGCUAAAUAAUUCUCUCUGCACCUGCAAAAACGAUGCUGGAAUGCCACAGCUGAAUCCACUA